Gallus gallus (chicken) is the source of this 1840-nucleotide long non-coding RNA. RefSeq lists it as uncharacterized. The transcript has 3 exons. Lineage: Eukaryota; Metazoa; Chordata; Aves; Galliformes; Phasianidae. The record is from RefSeq and is a predicted model, not a curated record.
AUGUCAGAAAAUGGAGGGCCUCAUGCCAUUUGGAGACCUGCUCAUUAUCCGUUCUUACAAUUUAAUGAUAUAUGUGUCUAUUACCGAGGAGAAGUAGAGGAUCUACUCAGGAACUCUGUGAGAUUGAUUGACUGGAAAAACGCAUAAAGGCUUAAACUAUCUUACAUCAUCUGCCAUGCAUACAGGACACUUUCUCUGCUAUGUGAAAAACUCUGAGCAACUGGAGACAGUGAAAAUAUGUAAAUGGGACUGGGCUGAUUUCAAGGAGAUGACAUGUGGGUUCUGAAUGUGUUCGGCAAACCAGGAAAUCACAUCCUUCCCAUUCCAGGAACCAGGACCUCAUGAGCGAACUUCGCUCUGGAGAAACCUAGUGAGAUGUGAGAACAACUUGUGCAAUAAAAUCAGUGGGGAAUGGAUAUCAAAGUGUACAGCAACAUACUCAGCUGUCCCCAGAUGUUCAGAUACCAAGAAGAUGACAAUGAGGAGCCUGGGAGAUGGCAUUCCUUGAACCUCAACAACUCCAACAGUCUCACAAGCAUUCAAAUGGGUUAGAGGAGAGUUUGCUCUUGUAUUUCUUCCUGUAAUAGCACACACAUAUCAGACCAAUGUUUUACACCUCUUCAACACACACAGUGGCUGAAAUGGAUAAUUUGGAAAAGAGACGGAUGGCAACAAGUGUGAGUGUGGAACACUAAUCCUUAGCUGAUUCCACAAAAGUCGUAUACUAUUUAUUCAAUAGUAAGUGAGAAUGAAGCAAGGGUCUGCCCAUAUGAGAGGGCCGGAAGUGGAAGGACUGUCAUGGAUUUCAUCUGAAUCAGUUUGCAUUCACAUGUCUUUGGUUUAAUUCUUAGGGAGCCCCAAGUGGAGCCAGGAGAUGGGCUCAGUGAUCUUCGGGGACAUUCUGUGAUUCUGUGAUUCUCCACCUAUUAGGCAUAAAUUGAAAUGGCACUGAGAACCACAGUAAAGUUCAGCAAAUUGCACAGGGAAUUGGUUUUCAUCCAUCAGUUAGGAAAGAAAAGCUUGCAGGCCAAAAGAGAUCAGAAGUCUGUACGUUGUGCUGUGUUGCCAGCAUCAGCCACUGGCAGAUCGCAAUUCAGAAGAUGAAACAGUUUGCAGUGUAAAGACAGGGAGUGUUAACUGAGAAUCUUAAAAUGAAACGUAACUGUGUAGUUAAUAGCCUUAUGACAGGGCAAAGCAGAACAAAAUACGGAACAAGAAAGGACAUCUCCCAUGCUUCUUACUACAGGAAACAAACUUUCACUAUCGAUGACAAUAGCUAUUGUAGAAGAAGAUGGAUGGCAUUGACACAGUAUGUGAUUACUAAGAUAGAUUUUCUUGGUCAAGCCAAAUAUUUUUGAUUGAAGAAGAAAUAAAUAUAUUUUUCACUUCAUGUUAUAGCUGCUGUUGUCUGAAACCCAGUGGGGAAAAACAAUUGUAAAAACAUAUUUUGUUUUCCUGAUUAUUUUCCAAAGGAACUCUGAACAAAACACAUUCAGGAGUUGAAAAAUCCAACUGGCUCUGAUGUUUCCUGUUUUCCUGGAUUGCAGCAGUGCUGAUAGUCAGAUACGGCAUGAGAAGGGUGUGGGAAAUGGCAGCAGAACAUACCCUGCCCUGUCUUGGAACAUGAGGAACUUCACCUGUGCUCAAAGAGAAGAUCGAGGAAAACUGGCAGAGGGAGGAAGCGUAUCUGGAGUGUUUUGGCUGUCGUGUAAAAUUUAAAAGAAUGUAUAAAUCCAUUGCAAAGGCUGUGUUUUGUAACAAUCUCCUUCCGUGAAUUUUGCUGGUUUCUGAAAUUCCCCAUCUGCAAACUUCUAUUAUAUUCUUCUCAGUUCUUCCCUGA